Molecule: ribosomal RNA, 480 nt
Filed under: uncultured bacterium
Lineage: Bacteria
Description: bacterial SSU rRNA
Rfam family: Bacterial small subunit ribosomal RNA
Source: RNAcentral
GAUGAACGCUAGCGGCAGGCCUAACACAUGCAAGUCGAGGGGCAGCACAAGAAGUAGCUUGCUACUUUUGGUGGCGACCGGCGCACGGGUGCGUAACGCGUAUGCAACCUACCCAUAACAGGGGGAUAACACUGAGAAAUUGGUACUAAUACCCCAUAAUAUCAUUAAUGGCAUCAUUGAUGGUUGAAAACUCAGGUGGUUAUGGAUGGGCAUGCGUUGUAUUAGCUAGUUGGUGAGGUAACGGCUCACCAAGGCGACGAUACAUAGGGGGACUGAGAGGUUAACCCCCCACAUUGGUACUGAGACACGGACCAAACUCCUACGGGAGGCAGCAGUGAGGAAUAUUGGUCAAUGGACGCAAGUCUGAACCAGCCAUGCCGCGUGCAGGAUGACGGCUCUAUGAGUUGUAAACUGCUUUUGAUAUGGGGAUAAAUGAUCCUACGUGUAGGAUUUUGCAGGUACCGCAUGAAUAAGGACCGG